UUCUCAGUUGAUCUGUCCUCCUGUAUAGAUGACAAAAUCGAGGCUCAGAGAAUGAAAUGACCUGCCUAAGGCCAUACAGAUGUCACAGGAGGGGCUGUAAUUUGAACUCAAGUCUGAUUCCAGAGCUUGAGGACCUCACUCCCUCCGUGCUGCUUCCCUCCUGGAAUCAUGGAAAGAACCGUGGAAUUCUGGAGCACUGGAGGCUAGUGGGUCCACCAUCACGUUACUGCCAGGGAUCUCAGGGGUCUGGGGAGCCAAGAUGCCUGUCCCAGGACACAUGCAAGUUCAGAGGCCUCCUCCAGACACCGGCAACCCCAGGCUGCCUGGCGUCUUCACUUCCCCUGGGUGCUCACCACUGUCUCCUGUCUUUCCUCCCCCACCCACUGCCCAGGGAGCUGCGGUGCGGGGAACCCGGGACUUAUCAAGACAAAGAACAAAAGUCGUAGGGGGAAAGAAGCCAAGAGCCAUCUCCACUCUGGGGUAGGGCCCUUCAGUUUCGCCCCUUUGAAAUUUCAAAUUCCAGUUUGUGGACAAAGUCCUCACUUUCUCACAAUAUAGGUCCCCAACCACUGACCAAACUCCAGUCCAGGCAGCCAGCAGGCCCAGGGCUGGUGAGGCUUUGCUGCUUCCUUUGGCAGCUCUCAAGGUCCAGGGGGAGGGGUCCUGGGCCAGCUGGGGUUGGCCAGGCCAUCCCUGCAGCCCCAGCCCACCUCACAAGGACCCCUGCCUGCCACCUGAGAGGACAGCCCUCUUCCUGGAGCCAGGAGCUGACGCUUGCUGGUACCAACAGCAGAUACCAGAACUUCAAGACUGAACAGGAUGUCUCAGCCAACUCACCCAUUUGGUGGAUGGAAACACUGAGGUCCCCAGGGGAGUGCCAGCUGGCUCCAGGUUGAACCUGAGGGGAUCAACCCAGGACCCUUCACUGAGCCCUGAAGAUGGAAGACACAUGCUCAAGGCCAUUUAGCGGCAGCAGGGGGAGCUUGGCCUUAACAAGAAGACCAUGAACUCUGUGAGGACCCCUCUGCUUCAUCGCAGCCCUCAAGGAGCCUGGCAGUGCCUCCUACAGACCCCAGAAGGUGGAGCGUCUGUUCAUUCAGUCACUGAUGGCCAUUCACUGGGAUGCCACGGAAGUACUUCCUAGAGGAAGAUGAAGAAGCUUGGGGCUGAAGGCCAGUGGAUUUGGAAGGAAACAUUUAUGUGGUUAACUGAUAACUCAGCCCCAUCCUUGGGCCCCUGGAAGCCUCCUUCCUCCCUGUCCUCAGCAUGAUUAAGACGAACUUACCUGCCUGCUAAUCAUUGCUGAGCCUGUUGAUUUUGCCUUAAAAAAUUAACUGGGCAUGAGUUUGCUGUUUGCCUCACCCCUAACCCUGCAAAGCAAAGGCCUGGGUGGGCAGGAGGCCACCCCGGUUAUGCAAGAGGCCGUCGGCCUCCCCACGCAAGCCAGCAACCCCUCUGCUGCUCUCCAAAGGAUCUGAGCAUUCAGAGAGGUGCUGAACUACCUGAAGGGUUUGUGAAGCCUGAGCUUCAACCUGGGUGCCUUUGCAGACAAGCCGUGUAGCUCUCAGUAAGUCAUACCUCUUUGCUAAGCCUCAGUGUGCCCAUCUGUUAAAAGGGUGCCUGUGCCCAUGCAAUGAGGAUAGAAUGUCCACAAGCUAAUUUCAGGGUAUUGUUUUUUUUUAAGCAUCAUCUCUUUAUUUUUUACAUGCUCUGUUUUGGCAAGGGAGGUAAUUAGUUUUGUUUAUUUAUUUAUUAUUGGGUUUUUUUAUUGUUAUUUUUUAAAUGGAAGUACUGGGGAUUGAACCAAGGACCUUAUGCAUGCUAAGCAUGCACUCCACCGCUGAGCUAUACCUUCCCUUCAGUUACCUUUUACAAGCGUUGACCUGAAAUGGUCCCAACUCAAGAGACAGGGACCACUGGGCCUCCAAGGCUCCAAGAAACUGGUUGGCUACUAUUGGAUGAAUGUAGGUAGGUUUCAGGAUCAAGAUUAUUUAAUGAAUACCUUUUAUUGGAUGGACAAAGACUUAUGGGUUUGAGGCCUGAGCAUCACGAAACUGCUGUCAGUGCUUCUUCCAGCCCUGGCUCUCUGAGGACUGAGUAAAUUAAAGACUCAGGCCUCUUUCCUGGAGGCCAGAGAAAAAAUAGUUGUAACAGGUAAGAAGGAAGGGAAGGAGGCUGUUUUCUUCUGGCACAUGCUGAACAUUUAGGAAAUGGAAUCAGGAGGGAAAAUUCAGAUUGGUAGAGUGAGCCCCACUCAUGUCCUUAAAAAAAAAAAAAACAACCCUGGUCUCUGGGAAGGGAGUCUUAGAGGGACAGACCCAGCUGGAGGCCUGCCGGAGCCCAGAGAAACUUCAGACCCGUGGGAGCCGGUUGAACUUGAGCCCAGAGAAGCACAUGUUCCUGUUGCAGCUGCCUUGGUAGCUGGGAGGGCAGGCAGAACACGGCCUCCCCAUCUUGUACGGUGCCUCGCCGAUCCAGUUACCCCUGGAAGAGAAAAGGUCGCAGGGAGGCGGGGUCGGGGGACGGUGACAUGAGCCACCUUCGCACAGAUUUCCAAGUCUCAGCACUGCUUGUGACCAAGUCACCCUUGCAAGCCUCGGUUUCUUCAUCUGUAAAACCAUUAGACUUUCCUCCCUCCCAGGGAUGCAGCGCAGGUUAAAUAACGGAGCCACGUGUGCAGGUAGGAUUAGCCCUAUUUUACAAGAGGAGACUGAGACCUACGGAGUGGAAAUGACUCAUCCAAAGACUUCAGUGUGUACGUGGUAGAGCUGAGAAACCCAGGCCUGGUAACAAAAAUAGGAACCAACAAGCAUUCCAAAAUUAUUAUGCGCCUGGGGGCAUUACCUGGGACAGCUCACUUAAUUCUCUCAACAAUUGUAUGAGUAGAUACCAUUUCCUUCCCAUUUUGCGGAUGUCCUUCCCUCUUUCCUUCCUUCUUUCUGCCUUUCAUCUCUUCAAUGCUAAGUAUUUUGUAAAUGAUGAAGGGCUACACGAGAGUAAAAGGCAGUUAUCAUGAUGUAAUAUUGAAAGUCUAAAUACCAUUUUUACUUAGAACCUGUUCUUGCUUUUGUAUGAGCAUCUGUAACGUUUGCAAAUUUGUAUACUGUCACGUUGUGUGGGAAUUCCCAUUCUCCUUUCUCCGUGUUUCCAAGAGACGUGGGUAUGAAGACCACACUUGUCCUCUCUCCCACCAAGCUGAUUGGAGAGUCUGAGCAAGCUCAUUCCAUCCUUCCUUUCUUUCCUUUGGGAUGUGCCUGCCUGCAGGGAGCAUGCAUUCUUGGUUGCUCUAUUUCUUGCGGUAAGCUUAGAGGGGCUGGCCCUGCACUUAGGAGAAGAGGCCUGUGGUUGUCCAGUGUGGUCUGCCAAUGGAUCUGAAGGUCUAGUUCAACAGUGAGAGAUUUGCAAGCCCACUUGGCUGGCAGAUUGAAGCCACAUUCUCCACUACUGACAUCAUCAGUGAGACUGCCUAUCCACCUGCCUUGGUCCUCUACCUCCCAAUCGAUUCUGAAACUUGGAUAGCAAGAAACUUAGAAAACAGAAAACACGAGAAGAUGUUUGAACCUAUUGAAAUUGAAUACACUUUUGAACUUGUCAGACCAAACAUCUCCAUUUUGGGGUCAAACAAUAUGGUCUGACUGCCUAAGACGCUCAAAACGAGACCAAGACUUCACGAGAUCCACCACCGAGCGGUACCUGGGGAGGCAGAGAAGAUGGAGGAAAAGUCACUCUGCCACCAGCGUGCUCGGUGACCUUGUUGAAUGAGCGAGUGAAGGAAGAGCUCAACUCACCGGCCAGAAUGGAUGGAGAGGUUCUGGCCCACGUAUCUCAUCAGCUGUGGGGGCCCGUGGGACCAAAUGCACUGGGUGGCCCAGGCCUCAGCAGACCUGGCCAGCUGCUCAUCCCAGACCUCGGAGAAAAGACAGGUCAUGAAAUUCCCCGGGGGAACAACUGCCAUCAUCUCGACAGUGCCUAGAGAUGCACGUACACAGUACCAUUACUCCCCCGUCUCCUCGGAACCCUGCAAAAACCCACCUGAUAAAUUAGAAGACCGAAACUCAAGGUCAACAGCAAGUCCACACCAGAGCCAGAGCCACACCUAGGUUUCUGACUCCUAGCCAGAUGCCCUUUUUCUCUCCCUUGGCUUCAAGCCUGAGGCUCUCUGCUCCAAGCAGGAUCCCAGGGUAUUGGCCCGGGAGUUCCCAGCAUCCCUAGAAGUGACUGCGCCCAGGGUGAUGGGAAGAGAAUGGAUUUUUAAAUUGUAUUUAUUUUAUUUUUAAAAUGUGUUCAUUUUAACAUUAAAAAAUUAAUUCAAAAGGG
Molecule: non-coding RNA, 4317 nt
Organism: Vicugna pacos (alpaca)
Lineage: Eukaryota; Metazoa; Chordata; Mammalia; Artiodactyla; Camelidae
Source: RefSeq, a predicted model, not a curated record